RNAcentral lists this unclassified non-coding RNA (282 nucleotides) under uncultured fungus. RNAcentral's name for it is "sequence contains ITS2". The stretch from base 1 to 52 matches the Rfam family "5.8S ribosomal RNA", at positions 103 to 154 of the family's 154-position model. Lineage: Eukaryota; Fungi. RNAcentral also lists the same sequence under 1 other name. The record is from RNAcentral.
AACGCACAUUGCGCCCUUUGGUAUUCCAAAGGGCAUGCCUGUUUGAGCGUCAUUUCUCUCUCAAAUCUUCGGAUUUGGUUUUGAGUGAUACUCUUAGUCAGACUAAGCGUUUGCUUGAAAUGUAUUGGCAUGAGUGGUACUAGAUAGUGCUGAACUGUUUUCAAUGUAUUAGGUUUAUCCAACUCAUUGACCAGUAAAGUAUUUGUUUAUUACACAGGCUCGGCCUUACAACAACAAACAAAGUUUGACCUCAAAUCAGGUAGGACUACCCGCUGAACUUAA